AGAGUUUGAUCCUGGCUCAGGAUGAACGCUGGCGGCGUGCUUAACACAUGCAAGUCGAACGGAGUUUUUAAACGGAAGUUUUCGGAUGGAAGUUUAAGAACUUAGUGGCGGACGGGUGAGUAACGCGUGGGUAACCUGCCUCAUACAGGGGGAUAACAGUUAGAAAUGACUGCUAACACCGCAUAGUAUAGUGAAACCGCAUGAUUUUGCUAUCAAAUAUUUAUAGGUAUGAGAUGGGCCCGCGUCUGAUUAGCUAGUUGGUGGGGUAAAAGCCUACCAAGGCGACGAUCAGUAGCCGGCUUGAGAGGGUGACCGGCCACAUUGGGACUGAGACACGGCCCAAACUCCUACGGGAGGCAGCAGUGGGGAAUAUUGGACAAUGGGGGAAACCCUGAUCCAGCCGACGCCGCGUGAGUGAAGAAGUAUUUCGGUAUGUAAAGCUCUAUCAGCAGGGAAGAUAAUGACAGUACCUGACUAAGAAGCCCCGGCUAACUACGUGCCAGCCGCCGC
Molecule: ribosomal RNA, 510 nt
Filed under: uncultured bacterium
Lineage: Bacteria
Description: bacterial SSU rRNA
Rfam family: Bacterial small subunit ribosomal RNA
Source: RNAcentral